AAGCACAUCUGGCCCACAAGGCACCCUACCUGCCCGGGAGACUCCUGCUGGGGCUGCAGUAGCCCAGGGGCCUGGGCUGGCUGCAGAAGCCAAGGAGUCGAUGGCUAGUCCCUGGGCUCCUGGUGAAAACACUGUGUUGAGACCUGAACAUGACAUCCAGAAAUGUGAGCACUCCAGUAACCCUGUCUCAUUACCCCUGGACACCAGCCACCUUCCUACAGCUGGGGAUGGCACAGCCAGGCCAGCACCACCCCGCAGAGUGCUGCUGCCCACACCCCCUAGCACCACCUUUCCACCCAGCUUCCCUUUGCAACCUGAGGCACAGAAUUUUAGUUCUGGAGGCAGGGAGCCUUUCUCAGGGCCCACAUUUCUGUCUCAGGAAACAUCUCUUGGUUCAUCCC
This 401-nucleotide long non-coding RNA is filed under the name Rattus norvegicus (Norway rat). RNAcentral describes it as "long non-coding RNA NONRATT020041". The record is from RNAcentral. Lineage: Eukaryota; Metazoa; Chordata; Mammalia; Rodentia; Muridae.